AAAAAGAAGAAGAUUUUUUUUUUUCCAUUUUUUCUCGCCCUUUUCAUAAAUAAUGAAAUAUCAUGUAAUAUUUAUAAAAUAUUAGAGGGAAACAAUUAUUUUUUAACAAAUUAUGACGACCCAAUUUGUAUGAUUAUUGAUUACCACAAGUUUAUAUCAUUAUUCUCAUAAUUAAUUUUUAUUUUUAAUUUUUACAUACAAACAAUUUUACAUAUUCCAAAAGUUAGCACAAAGUAUUCAAUCUAAAAAUAAAAUUUAUUACGAAAUAAAAAUAGUGAAAUUUAUUAUAACUUUUUUAUGAAUUAAAAAAAAAAAGAUGAAUACUAUGUUACGUAGGACUUCAAUUGAUAUUUUUAUAAAAAGAAUUUUGUAUUAUAUUAUUCUCAUUUUAUUUUAAUUUCUUUAUUUAUUUUUUGCGUUGGGUGUUCCAUGCUUUUUCUCCCCUUGUGAUUUGACCCCCAACAAAUUAACCAAAAUUGACUCCUGCGUCAAGUCCGCUCUAGUACACCGGCCUUUAUUGGCGGACGCCAGUCCUCUCUUAAAUCCAGUUUAAUCCCAUCUCGCGCACGCCCGCGCGAUGACCGGGGACCUCCGGUCGUGUCGUUUUUCUGACUUACCUAACCGGUCGCACUCGGUACCUUUCCACCUCCUCAACCGGUUCCCGAGAACUUCUAAAACUUUGUCUAGAUUUGAGUACGUUAUGUCGUCUGCAUAAAAAAACCACUGGAUACGAUCCACGUGGCAGACUAUUCUUCGUCAGAUGUGGGAUUGAUUCGUCUUUCUAGAGUCUUCCUCGGUCAUUUCCGGAAUAAAAUUAAUCAAAAUGGAUAAGUUCAGAGAUAAACCAAUAAAGAAAUGCCAGGUCAGUAGGUGGUGAUUUUAUUAUUCAGAAGCUUAAAACACCGGAUUUGCCGUUUCAAAUUUAACUUUCAUGUGAGAUGAAUUUGGAUUGAAUUUCCAUAAAAUUUGACCCUGGGACGAGGUUAAAUUAUUACACACCAAUAUGGGUUGUCGUUUAUGCGCUACCUCACUUACACGAAAUCAACCAAUAGUUUCCUGCCACCUAAGCUAAUCAAACAAGAGAUGAAUUUAAAAUAACAUAUUUAUCCCUAGAUCGUACCGAGAAAAAAUGACGCGGCAUGAUGUGACUGGAAGUUAAAAAGCGGAAGAAUAAUUUUAAAAUCAGAAAAACGAUUUCUCAGUGCGCCUCUUUUAUAAUUUUCUCUUUCUUUCUACCAUUGGAUAGGCGAUUUUAUCAAAAACCAAAAAUAAAAUUAAAUAGUGUAAUUAUUUUUUGAUCCCUAAUGUUAUCGGUUUUCUUAAAUAUAGACACAAAUUGUUCAUCUAUAUAAAAUACGUAUCCACGCAUUUUUUAUAUGACCAAAUCACCCUCAUAACGAUUUUUUAGUGCCCCCAAGGGUGUAUCUUUUCUACCGACCAAAAAUAUUAUUUCCCUCCAAACAAAUGAUUU
This 1471-nucleotide long non-coding RNA is filed under the name Citrus x clementina. RNAcentral's name for it is "Citrus clementina (C. clementina) long non-coding RNA (CCLE_LNC000521)". The record is from RNAcentral. Lineage: Eukaryota; Viridiplantae; Streptophyta; Magnoliopsida; Sapindales; Rutaceae.